CUAACUAGGAUUCCCUUAGUAACGGCGAGUGAACCGGGAUGAGCUCAAAUUUAAAAUCUGGCGUCUUUCAGGCGUCCGAGUUGUAAUCUAUAGAGGCGUUUUCCGCGCCGGACCGCGUCCAAGUCUCUUGGAAUAGAGUAUCAAAGAGGGUGACAAUCCCGUACUUGACGCGACAACCGGUGCUCUGUGAUACGUUCUCAAUGAGUCGAGUUGUUUGGGAAUGCAGCUCUAAAUGGGUGGUAAAUUCCAUCUAAGGCUAAAUAUUGGCGAGAGACCGAUAGCGAACAAGUACCGUGAGGGAAAGAUGAAAAGCACUUUGGAAAGAGAGUUAAACAGCACGUGAAAUUGUUAAAAGGGAAACGAUUGAAGUCAGUCGUGUGAAAGGUAUUCAGCCGUCUCUGGCGGUGUAUUUGCCUUUCACGGGUCAACAUCAGUUUGAUCCGGUAGAAAAAGGCGGGAGGAAGGUGGCACCCUCGGGUGUGUUAUAGCCUCCUGUCAUAUGUGCCGGACCAGACUGAGGAACGCAGCUUGCCGCAAGGCCGGGGUUCGCCCACGUACAAGCUUAGGAU
RNAcentral lists this ribosomal RNA (569 nucleotides) under Vishniacozyma victoriae. Its description in RNAcentral is "partial large subunit ribosomal RNA". It matches the Rfam family "Eukaryotic large subunit ribosomal RNA", at positions 65 to 624 of the family's 3401-position model. The record is from RNAcentral. Lineage: Eukaryota; Fungi; Basidiomycota; Tremellomycetes; Tremellales; Bulleribasidiaceae.